CAUAAUUCAUUUAAUCCCUAUAUAAAAAGCAGAUUAUAUUCCCCCAAUUAAUCAUCAUCUUCCCCUCAAAAAAACCCUACCCUCAAAAUCGGCACAGAUCAUCUUCCCAAAAAAAACCCUAAUCCUACAACAAUCUUCUUCAUCUUCUCCCCUGCAGUGCAGUCAAAGGCGUUGGAAGAUAGUUAUAAAUGGAGAUAUGUGGAAUCAAAUCCUGUGGAAGAAUUUCAUGAAUUUGAUGUAAUGGAAGGUCCAGAGGAUGCUUUAGAUGAAUUUGACUUGCAUAAUGGUGAAUAUGAAAUUAAACAUCUAGCAGUUGAACCUAGUAAAAGUAAAGAAGAAGCCGAGAAGAUAGCGAUUAGAUUGCUUGCAGUAAGCGAGACUGUUGAUGCAUUUGCAGGAGAGAAGAUGAAGAAGAUUGUUGUGAGAUUAGGGUUUUUUUUUUUGGGAAGAUGAUGUGUGACGAUUUUAAGGGUAGGGUUUUUUUUUUGGGAAGAUGAUGAUUAAUUGGGGGAAUAUAAUAUGCUUUUUAUA
Molecule: long non-coding RNA, 531 nt
Organism: Helianthus annuus (common sunflower)
Lineage: Eukaryota; Viridiplantae; Streptophyta; Magnoliopsida; Asterales; Asteraceae
Exons: 2
Source: RefSeq, a predicted model, not a curated record